CGCCCCGCGCGCGGACCUGCAGCCAUGGCAGUCACCGCCCAGGCAGCCCGCAGGAAGGAGCGCGUCCUCUGCCUGUUUGACGUGGACGGGACCCUCACGCCGGCUCGCCAGGUAGGACCCUGAAGAUUGGAAGCUCCCGCCGGGAGUGUCACGCGGACACCCCCGAGGCUGAGUGUGGGGUCUGCAGCAGCGUGACCGUGGACACCCGGGGACCGAGUGUGGGAUGCGGCGGUACCCGGCCCCCUGACAUCCGGGGCCACCCACCGGGAGUGAGGGGACCUGGCCCUUACGUCACUGACCCCGCAGCGUCCCUGCCUGUGUUCUGCUUGGGAGUGCUGGGGUUGGAUCCAGUACUGGAGGGAGGAGGCUGCGAGCAGGCGCCUAGCUCCCUCCCUCCCUAGAGGCUUUCACACGCCGCUAAGGCCUGGCUCACGGACGCCCCCGCCUCCUGAGCUGGGGAUCCCACCCUAGUUCAGCCCUACGACACACCAGUGGUCGGAGCUGGCUUCUGAACCGGGGUUCCAGGCACACAAGCACACAGCCAAGCGUCAGUCAUCAUCUGGUGGGAGACAGGGCGUCUCGGAGUCUUCCCACCCCGACCUUUGCAGGCCUGGGACUGGGUCUAGUUUCUGAAGCCCCAUCACCCACUUUACCUUCCACCCCCAGUCGUGGAGCAGAGAGGGCUUCUUUUCAAAUUCGUUUAUGAGCUCUACCCACCCGGAUGUGAGAGGCUCCAGGCCUAGCCUGUUUGCUGUGAGGACACUGAGGAAUAGUGAGGAAAAUUGACCCUGAGGUGGCCGCCUUCCUGCAGAAGCUGCGAAGUAGAGUGCAGAUCGGUGUGGUGGGCGGCUCUGACUACUGUAAGA
This 866-nucleotide small RNA is filed under the name Pan troglodytes (chimpanzee). Its description in RNAcentral is "retained intron". The record is from RNAcentral. Lineage: Eukaryota; Metazoa; Chordata; Mammalia; Primates; Hominidae.